This 253-nucleotide ribosomal RNA is filed under the name uncultured bacterium. RNAcentral describes it as "partial 16S ribosomal RNA". It matches the Rfam family "Bacterial small subunit ribosomal RNA", at positions 524 to 776 of the family's 1533-position model. The record is from RNAcentral.
UACGUAGGGUGCAGGCGUUAAUCGGAAUUACUGGGCGUAAAGCGUGCGUAGGUGGUUUGUUAAGUCUGAUGUGAAAGCCCUGGGCUCAACCUGGGAACGGCAUUGGAAACUGGCUUACUAGAGUGCGGUAGAGGGGUGUGGAAUUCCCGGUGUAGCAGUGAAAUGCGUAGAUAUCGGGAGGAACAUCUGUGGCGAAGGCGACACCCUGGACCAGUACUGACACUGAGGCACGAAAGCGUGGGGAGCAAACAGG